RNAcentral lists this ribosomal RNA (253 nucleotides) under uncultured bacterium. RNAcentral's name for it is "partial 16S ribosomal RNA". It matches the Rfam family "Bacterial small subunit ribosomal RNA", at positions 524 to 775 of the family's 1533-position model. The record is from RNAcentral.
GACGUAGGGCGCGAGCGUUGUCCGGAUUUAUUGGGCGUAAAGGGCUCGUAGGCGGUUUGUCGCGUCGGGAGUGAAAUCCACUGGCUUAACUGGUGGCUUGCUUUCGAUACGGGCAGACUGGAGGUAUGCAGGGGAGAACGGAAUUCCUGGUGUAGCGGUGGAAUGCGCAGAUAUCAGGAGGAACACCGAUGGCGAAGGCAGAUCUCUGGGACCGUAACUGGACGCUGAGGAGCGAAAGCAUGGGAGCGAACAG